This is a long non-coding RNA of Nyctereutes procyonoides (raccoon dog), 372 nucleotides long. RefSeq lists it as uncharacterized. Lineage: Eukaryota; Metazoa; Chordata; Mammalia; Carnivora; Canidae. The transcript is spliced from 3 exons. The record is from RefSeq and is a predicted model, not a curated record.
AUUUUACGGAGAUGGAAACGAGGCUCAGAGAGGCUGACCCACAGCCACCUAAUGAGUGUUAGAAAUGUAAUGAGAAACCAUCCAGUUUUGAAUCUGUUGCCCCACAAGUGUCUACUAAGCACUCAACUGCAUGCCGGAGUCUGAGCUACGUCCAAGAGAUAUGGCAGUGAGGAAGAUGAGAAAAUUGAAACUCAGAGAGGGGACUUGUCUUGUCUGAGGUCACACAGCAAGGGAUUGGCUGAAGUGGGAUUGGAACCGAGGGCAGCCCCUGUGGCGCAGUGGUUUAGCGCCACCUGAAGCCCAGGGCAUGAUCCUGGAGUCCCUGGAUCGAGUCCCCUCUCUGCAUGGAGCCUGCUUCUCCCUCUGCCUGUG